GAUGAACGCUAGCGGCAGGCUUAACACAUGCAAGUCGAGGGGCAUCACAGAUAGCAAUAUUGGGUGGCGACCGGCGCACGGGUGAGUAACGCGUAUGCAAUCUACCUAUAACUGGGGCAUAACUCGUCGAAAGACGGACUAAUUUCCCAUAAGACCACGACCUGGCAUCAGGACGGGGUAAAAGCCACGGCGGUUAUAGAUGAGCAUGCGUUCCAUUAGCUAGUUGGUGAGGUAACGGCCCACCAAGGCUACGAUGGAUAGGGGUUCUGAGAGGAAGGCCCCCCACACUGGGACUGAGACACGGCCCAGACUCCUACGGGAGGCAGCAGUGAGGAAUAUUGGUCAAUGGGCGCAAGCCUGAACCAGCCAUGCCGCGUGAAGGAAGACGGCCUUAUGGGUUGUAAACUUCUUUUAUGAGAGAGCAAUAAAGGGUACGUGUACCCUGAUGAGAGUAUCUCACGAAUAAGCAUCGGCUAACUCCGUGCCAGCAGCCGCGGUAAUACGGAGGAUGCAAGCGUUAUCCGGAUUUAUUGGGUUUAAAGGGUGCGUAGGCGGAUUAAUAAGUCAGUGGUGAAAGUUUAUCGCUUAACGGUAAAAUUGCCAUUGAUACUGUUAGUCUUGAGUGUAUUUUGAGGUAGCGGAAUGUGUAGUGUAGCGGUGAAAUGCAUAGAUAUCACGCAGAACUCCAAUUGCGAAGGCAGCUUGCCAAGCCACAACUGACACUGAAAGCACGAAAGCGUGGGGAUCAAACAGGAUUAGAUACCCUGGUAGUCCACGCAGUAACGAUGAUUACUAGGAGUUUGCGAUAGACAGUAAGCUCCCGAGCGAAAGCGUUAAGUAAUCCACCUGGGGAGUACGCCGGCAACGGUGAAACUCAAAGGAAUUGACGGGGGCCCGCACAAGCGGAGGAACAUGUGGUUUAAUUCGAUGAUACGCGAGGAACCUUACCCGGGAUUGAACGUAAGUGGAAUAACGUCAAAAGAUGUUAGCUAGCAAUAGCCACUUACGAGGUGCUGCAUGGUUGUCGUCAGCUCGUGCCGUGAGGUGUCGGCUUAAGUGCCAUAACGAGCGCAACCCUUAUUGCCAGUUACUAACAGGUAAAGCUGAGGACUCUGGCGAGACUGCCGGCGUAAGCUGUGAGGAAGGUGGGGAUGACGUCAAAUCAGCACGGCCCUUACAUCCGGGGCGACACACGUGUUACAAUGGUGGGGACAGCGGGGAGCUACUCCGCGAGGAGAUGCUAAUCUUAGAAAGCCGGUCUCAGUUCGGAUCGAAGUCUGCAACCCGACUUCGUGAAGCUGGAUUCGCUAGUAAUCGCGCAUCAGCCAUGGCGCGGUGAAUACGUUCCCGGGCCUUGUACACACCGCCCGUCAAACCAUGGAAGUUGGGGGUACCUGAAGUCUGUUACCGCAAGGAGCGGCCUAGGGUAAAACCAAUGACUGGGGUU
This 1447-nucleotide ribosomal RNA is filed under the name uncultured bacterium. RNAcentral's name for it is "bacterial SSU rRNA". It matches the Rfam family "Bacterial small subunit ribosomal RNA". The record is from RNAcentral.